GUAAUACAUGCAAGUCGAACGAACUCUGGUAUUGAUUGGUGCUUGCAUCAUGAUUUACAUUUGAGUGAGUGGCGAACUGGUGAGUAACACGUGGGAAACCUGCCCAGAAGCGGGGGAUAACACCUGGAAACAGAUGCUAAUACCGCAUAACAACUUGGACCGCAUGGUCCGAGUUUGAAAGAUGGCUUCGGCUAUCACUUUUGGAUGGUCCCGCGGCGUAUUAGCUAGAUGGUGGGGUAACGGCUCACCAUGGCAAUGAUACGUAGCCGACCUGAGAGGGUAAUCGGCCACAUUGGGACUGAGACACGGCCCAAACUCCUACGGGAGGCAGCAGUAGGGAAUCUUCCACAAUGGACGAAAGUCUGAUGGAGCAACGCCGCGUGAGUGAAGAAGGGUUUCGGCUCGUAAAACUCUGUUGUUAAAGAAGAACAUAUCUGAGAGUAACUGUUCAGGUAUUGACGGUAUUUAACCAGAAAGCCACGGCUAACUACGUGCCAGCAGCCGCGGUAAUACGUAGGUGGCAAGCGUUGUCCGGAUUUAUUGGGCGUAAAGCGAGCGCAGGCGGUUUUUUAAGUCUGAUGUGAAAGCCUUCGGCUCAACCGAAGAAGUGCAUCGGAAACUGGGAAACUUGAGUGCAGAAGAGGACAGUGGAACUCCAUGUGUAGCGGUGAAAUGCGUAGAUAUAUGGAAGAACACCAGUGGCGAAGGCGGCUGUCUGGUCUGUAACUGACGCUGAGGCUCGAAAGUAUGGGUAGCAAACAGGAUUAGAUACCCUGGUAGUCCAUACCGUAAACGAUGAAUGCUAAGUGUUGGAGGGUUUCCGCCCUUCAGUGCUGCAGCUAACGCAUAAGCAUCCGCCUGGGGAGUACGGCCGCAAGGCUGAAACUCAAAGGAAUUGACGGGGGCCCGCACAAGCGGUGGAGCAUGUGGUUUAAUUCGAAGCUACGCGAAGAACCUUACCAGGUCUUGACAUACUAUGCAAAUCUAAGAGAUUAGACGUUCCCUUCGGGGACAUGGAUACAGGUGGUGCAUGGUUGUCGUCAGCUCGUGUCGUGAGAUGUUGGGUUAAGUCCCGCAACGAGCGCAACCCUUAUUAUCAGUUGCCAGCAUUAAGUUGGGCACUCUGGUGAGACUGCCGGUGACAAACCGGAGGAAGGUGGGGAUGACGUCAAAUCAUCAUGCCCCUUAUGACCUGGGCUACACACGUGCUACAAUGGAUGGUACAACGAGUUGCGAACUCGCGAGAGUAAGCUAAUCUCUUAAAGCCAUUCUCAGUUCGGAUUGUAGGCUGCAACUCGCCUACAUGAAGUCGGAAUCGCUAGUAAUCGCGGAUCAGCAUGCCGCGGUGAAUACGUUCCCGGGCCUUGUACACACCGCCCGUCACACCAUGAGAGUUUGUAACACCCAAAGUCGGUGGGGUAACCUUUUAGGAACCAGCCGCCUAAGGUGGGACAGAUGAUUAGGGUGAAGUCGUAACA
RNAcentral lists this ribosomal RNA (1478 nucleotides) under Lactobacillus sp. RNAcentral describes it as "bacterial SSU rRNA". It matches the Rfam family "Bacterial small subunit ribosomal RNA". The record is from RNAcentral. Lineage: Bacteria; Bacillati; Bacillota; Bacilli; Lactobacillales; Lactobacillaceae.